RNAcentral lists this ribosomal RNA (513 nucleotides) under uncultured bacterium. RNAcentral describes it as "bacterial SSU rRNA". It matches the Rfam family "Bacterial small subunit ribosomal RNA", at positions 15 to 518 of the family's 1533-position model. The record is from RNAcentral.
GAUUAUGGCUCAGGAUGAACGCUAGCUACAGGCUUAACACAUGCAAGUCGAGGGGCAUCGAGAAGAAAGCUUGCUUCUUGUCGGCGACCGGCGCACGGGUGAGUAACGCGUAUCCAACCUUCCCCUUAGUAGAGGAUAGCCCGGCGAAAGUCGGAUUAACACUCUAUGUUGUAUUUUGAUGGCAUCUGACGAAUACCAAAGAUUUAUCGCUAAGGGAUGGGGAUGCGUCUGAUUAGGUUGCAGGCGGGGUAACGGCCCACCUGGCCUACGAUCAGUAGGGGUUCUGAGAGGAAGGUCCCCCACACUGGUACUGAGACACGGACCAGACUCCUACGGGAGGCAGCAGUGAGGAAUAUUGGUCAAUGGGCGCGAGCCUGAACCAGCCAAGUAGCGUGCAAGGACGACUGCCCUAUGGGUUGUAAACUGCUUUUAUCAGGGAAUAAAGUGAGGCACGCGUGCCUUUUUGUAUGUACCUGAUGAAUAAGGACCGGCUAAUUCCGUGCCAGCCGCCGC